This 207-nucleotide ribosomal RNA is filed under the name uncultured bacterium. Its description in RNAcentral is "partial 16S ribosomal RNA". It matches the Rfam family "Bacterial small subunit ribosomal RNA", at positions 1286 to 1500 of the family's 1533-position model. The record is from RNAcentral.
UCUCAGUUCGGAUUGGAGGCUGAAACCCGCCUCCAUGAAGUUGGAUUCGCUAGUAAUCGCGCAUCAGCCAUGGCGCGGUGAAUACGUUCCCGGGCCUUGUACACACCGCCCGUCAAGCCAUGGAAGCUGGGGGUGCCUGAAGUUCGUGACCGGAAGGAGCGACCUAGGGCAAAACCGGUGACUGGGGCUAAGUCGUAACAAGGUAUC